Molecule: ribosomal RNA, 219 nt
Filed under: uncultured bacterium
Lineage: Bacteria
Description: partial 16S ribosomal RNA
Rfam family: Bacterial small subunit ribosomal RNA
Source: RNAcentral
CGUAGAAGACUAGUGUUAUUCAUCUUAAUAGGUUUAAGGGUACCUAGACGGUAAAUUAGUCUAAAUAUGAUACGGUUUACUAGAGUUAUAUAUAAGGAGGUGAGUAUUUAAGGAGUAGAGUUGAAAUUCAGUCAUACCUUAAGGACUGGUAAUGGCGAAAGCAACCUUUUAUCUAAUAACUGACGUUGAGGGACGAAGGCUCGGGUAGCGAACAGGAUU